Molecule: long non-coding RNA, 3186 nt
Organism: Dermochelys coriacea (leatherback sea turtle)
Lineage: Eukaryota; Metazoa; Chordata; Testudines; Dermochelyidae
Exons: 4
Source: RefSeq, a predicted model, not a curated record
AAUAGGAAGUACCUUGGACAGAGCAACUGCUAGCAGGGACUGAGGGAGCUGCUAACUCUAGCUGGCUCAAGGCCCUGAGAAGAGGGUGAAGAAAGUGCUGGGAACAUGGGGAAGUGGCUCAGGGGACAGAAGCAGCAUGGAGUGAAGUUAAAGAGAUGCAGCAGGAGGCUGUUAUCCACAGGGUCUCUGAGCUGGGACCUGGAGUGGCAGGGGCCUGGGUCUGCAGAUGGAGAAGACAGCAGGAGAGGCACCACAAGGAGAGGGUGCACUGGCUGGCAGAGCUAAUCCCUAUAAUGGCCAGCUGGUGAUGUUGCUGGGGAAAAAAUAGAGGAACACCAGGUCCAAGAGGACAGGAAAAGGCUACAGUUUAACUUCCCAAUGCUACUUAAUAGCACAAACUUUUAAAUACAUAAAUCCUUAAACUGCAGAGAAGAUCAUUUGAAAGGCAAGACUGCAGCAGCCAGCUAUUGCAGAGAAAAUGGGCUACAUCAAACAAAAAAGGGAAAUGAGGAACUUGUUUAGGAAUAGAAUUAAGCUAAAGCAUGGAAUUUUCAUGAAAUAUGAAUCAUUCUAUGGGUGGGCUGGUGCCUGGAGGAUACUGGAGCACAGACAAGGAGGGAGAGAACAUCUGAGGAUUUGAAAAGAAAAGUCAAACAGUAGAGGCAGCAUGAAUGAACAGGAGGAUUAAUACUUCAGAAGUCCUCUUUAAAAUCAUGUUGUUACAGUGCUUGAGGCAUUAAAUUUGCCAGGCUGACUACUGUGGGAAAUCAGUUUGGCUUAAGCACUGUGCAACCAUGGAGAAUUCACAGAAGUUUUCAACCAGGCUAAUACAUUAUGCAUCCGAGUUGGACAGAAGAAAACGUAAAUCUUAAACAUAAUUUAUGGAGCGGGAGAGAAGUGUGGAGUUUAAAAAUGCAGUAUGAAGGGGAUGCCAAUGAGAAGGAAUCGUGUGAAGAGGAACAGGCAAGGAUGAGGGAAAUGUUACAAGGAGGCACUUAAAGAAAUGUUAGCUCUGGGAGAUGAACUUAUUUUACUAAUGGGGAAAAUGAGGCAUUGCCCAUUAUCACAUGGGGGGCCAGUAACAAUAGGAACAACUGGUCUCAUAACUAGCAUUUCUCAUUGCUGUCAAUAAAUGGUGAUGCAUACACACACUACUUACUGAAAGGAAAAGCAAAAUUCAUGUACAAAGGUAUGAUGCUCAUGUGUGGCAUAUACCUUCAGCUAAUCUUUAGUAUCUUCUCCUCUGCCACCCCCAAACCAGCAGAGCUCUACUGGGCAGCAGUGUCCUUCCUGGAUCUCUAGAGGAACUAUCUUCCCUCCUGUUCCAAGCUGGGAAUACGGAAGGGAGGUCAGGGAUUCAAAUUCAGUGUGAACUAACUUAUGGAAAGUUACCUUUUAUAGCACAAACGGGCAGGGGCAGGGAUUGAUGUGUUCAGUAGAAUCCAGCAACAUGUAGCCGUAGAAGAGACCACCAGCCCUUGCUUUCAGUCAAAACUGGUUCUUGGUUGUGAAAUAAAGGGGCUUUAAUUUGAUCAUCCUGUAUUACCUAACACAUGGUUUGAAGAAACAGAAGUCCAGUGAACAAGACAACUUCAUUUUCUAAGGCUAUUCUUUUUCUCCUCUGCAGGUGGCUCUUCACAUUGUAUGUUUUACUUUGUCUCUGCUCUGCAGUAAUUCUUGGCAAAACUAUUCCUGAGAGUUUGGUAAUUGAAGCAGAAUACAUCUUCUUUUUAAAGAACAAACUAAUUCCACCCUCUCCCCCAAAACACACCUAAAACCAAAGCCCAAAACAAAUGCUGCACAGGGAAUUUCAUGUAUUCUAAAAGGAAGCCUAAGCAAGGCAGUAAAUUAAUGAUCACAUUAACCCAUCUGUAAUGCUGGUUUUGGAGACCUAGAUUCUGUUGCUCAUCUGGCAGAGCUAGAAAAGUGUCAUUAAUCCACAUGAAUGUUUCCUAUCUAAACAAAUCUUACUAUGAGCAGAGCUGCACUUUCUGACUUCAGGGAGCUCUGUUCUGAAUGCACCACUAGCAAAACCAUGGUCAAUAAGGUAUACCUCUCAGUAAAUUCUGUAAAAGGCACAGCCUUAGAGAACAAAUGUGUUGCUGACUAUUUUCCCCCCCUCCCCGCAUCUGUAUAAAAAGAUGGAAGGGGUGGCAGGGAAAGGAGGGUGAAUUAAAAAUAUUGUUUAGCUACAAAAUUAAGCAAUGAAAAAGUGGUAAGAAACACAAAUCUCCAAAAGCACUGAGGUCAGGACUCUUAAAGGUAUUUAGGUGCUCAACUCCCAUUGAGGAUCUGGGUUUGAGUUCAGCCAGGAAGCAGGAUUUCAAAAUUGUUGGUAGAUAAGGAUUAAAUUGUCACCCCUGUAUGCGCCACUGGUGAACGUUCUAACGUUCAGCAUUGAAACUCCGACUGGAAACGCCUUCCCUCUGCAGGAGUUUACAGGGAGUGCCCACUCACUUGGUUACUGGCCGUGUACACGGGUGCUAUGGAAGCAACCAUCAGAGCUGCUGUUUGACACUCCUGUGGAGACAAUUACUACUUUCCUUUAUAGGCUCUGCUUCUACAGUGAACUUGGUGCAGGUAGACAGGCUUGCCCUUGGCGGGAGGGGGGGCUUAAUUGAAAUUGUAAUAGUCAAUAAGGCUCUGCAUGGGUGCAGGGAUUUGCUCAAAGCAAGUUUGGGCCUUGGUUUAUCCCUUUGCCUUCAGUAAAAAGGCAAGAGAUCCAGAAUGCGCCAUGUGCAACACAUGAAAACAUGAUCCUUUCCCUGAAGAGCACACAUUACAUGUGAAUGUGGAGAGGGUGAUAGUGGACCAGCUCAGGAAGGUGUUCAGUAUGCAGGGAGCAUCAUGACAAGAUGUGGAGACGCUUCUUGGAAAAGUGGACAAUAAAUGUGGUUCCUUCACUUUCUGAAUGCAAUCUAUAUAGAGACCCAACCCAUCACAGGCUAACUGUUUCCAGCAUGAUUUUUAUCUAGGUCAAACACGCUGAAGUUGAGUAAGUCACAAAUUUUAAAUUUUAUCAGAUGGUCAUCUGUUAAUUCAUAGAAUUCUCCAAACUUGAUCCAGUGUGUAUAUGCAUCUGUGCUGCAUUGUUACAAUUGAUAAAAACAAACUUGACAUAUUUAGGUCAUGCAAGAGCACCUAAAAAUUAGACAGUUGUGUCUUUAUGAAUACUUGUUUUUGUGA